Molecule: non-coding RNA, 30 nt
Filed under: Mus musculus (house mouse)
Lineage: Eukaryota; Metazoa; Chordata; Mammalia; Rodentia; Muridae
Source: RNAcentral
UCCNGAGUAGCCUUUUCAGAAUGGAUAGUG